RNAcentral lists this ribosomal RNA (758 nucleotides) under Parahaemophilus parainfluenzae. Its description in RNAcentral is "Haemophilus parainfluenzae bacterial SSU rRNA". It matches the Rfam family "Bacterial small subunit ribosomal RNA", at positions 28 to 776 of the family's 1533-position model. The record is from RNAcentral. Lineage: Bacteria; Pseudomonadati; Pseudomonadota; Gammaproteobacteria; Pasteurellales; Pasteurellaceae.
AUUGAACGCUGGCGGCGGCUUAACACAUGCAAGUCGAACGGUAACAUAAAGAAGCUUGCUUCUUUGAUGACGAGUGGCGGACGGGUGAGUAAUGCUUGGGAAUCUAGCUUAUGGAGGGGGAUAACUACGGGAAACUGUAGCUAAUACCGCGUAAUAUCGAAAGAUUAAAGUGUGGGACCUUCGGGCCGCAUGCCAUAAGAUGAGCCCAAGUGGGAUUAGGUAGUUGGUGAGGUAAAGGCUCACCAAGCCGACGAUCUCUAGCUGGUCUGAGAGGAUGACCAGCCACACUGGGACUGAGACACGGCCCAGACUCCUACGGGAGGCAGCAGUGGGGAAUAUUGCGCAAUGGGGGCAACCCUGACGCAGCCAUGCCGCGUGAAUGAAGAAGGCCUUCGGGUUGUAAAGUUCUUUCGGUAGCGAGGAAGGCAUUUAGUUUAAUAGACUAGGUGAUUGACGUUAACUACAGAAGAAGCACCGGCUAACUCCGUGCCAGCAGCCGCGGUAAUACGGAGGGUGCGAGCGUUAAUCGGAAUAACUGGGCGUAAAGGGCACGCAGGCGGUGACUUAAGUGAGGUGUGAAAGCCCCGGGCUUAACCUGGGAAUUGCAUUUCAUACUGGGUCGCUAGAGUACUUUAGGGAGGGGUAGAAUUCCACGUGUAGCGGUGAAAUGCGUAGAGAUGUGGAGGAAUACCGAAGGCGAAGGCAGCCCCUUGGGAAUGUACUGACGCUCAUGUGCGAAAGCGUGGGGAGCAAACAGG